GUUGCUGCCCCUGAAUUGGUAAUUUUAAGGAAAUUUUGCUGUUUUGGGUUAUUAUCAUGAAUAUUAUUAUAGAUAGAGAUAAACUGUAAACAGAAAAAAUGUUCAGCAAAGUAAGAUUUACAAAUAAGUCAACAUGACCGAAAUGGUCAGUUGACCCCUUUAGGAGUUAUGGCCCUUUAUAGUCAAUUUUUAACCAUUUUCCGUAAAUCUUAGUUACCUUUUACAAAAAUCUUCUCCUCUGAAACUACUGGGUCAAAUUGAACCAAACUUGGCAACAAUCAUCAUUGGGGUAUCUAGUUUAAAAAUUGUGUCCGGUGACCCGGCCAACCAACCAAGAUGGCCACCAUGGCUAAAAAUAGAACAUAGGGGUAAAAUCAGUUUUUGGCUUAUAACUCAAAAACCAAAGCAUUUAGAGCAAAUCUGACAGAAGUUAAAUGGUUUAUCAGGUCAAGAUCUAUCUGCCCUGAAAUUUUCAGAUGAAUCAGACAACCGAUUGUUAGGUUGCUGCCUCUGAAUUGGUUAUUUUAAGGAAAUUUUGCUGUUUUUGGUUAUUAUCAUGAAUAUUAUUAUAGAUAGAGAUAAACUGUAAACAGCAAAAAUGUUCAGCAAAGUAAGAUUUACAAAUAAGUCAACAUGACCGAAAUGGUCAGUUGACCCCUUUAGGAGUUAUGGCCCUUGAUAGUCAAUGUUUAACCAUUUUCCGUAAAUCUUAGUUAUCUUUUACAAAAAUCUUCUCCUCUGAAACUACUGGGCCAAAUUUAACCAAACAUGGCCAAAAUCAUUAUUAGGGUAUCUUGUUUAAAAAUUGUGUCCGGUGACCUGGCUAACCAACCAAGAUGGCCACCAUGGCUAAAAAUAGAACAUAGGGGUAAAAUGCAGUUUUAAGCUUAUAACUCACAAACCAAAGCAUUGAGAGCAAAUCUGACAUGGGUAAAAUUGUUUAUCAGGUCAAGAUCUAUCUGCCCUGAAAUUUUCAGAUGAAUCGGACAACCCGUUGUUGGGUUGCCGCCCCUGAAUUGGUAAUUUUAAGGAAAUUUUGCUGUUUUUGGUUAUUAUCUUGAAUAUUAUUAUAGAUGUAGAUAAACUGUAAACAGCAAUAAUGUAAUGCUUGGGGUAUACAAUGUUUUUUUAUACUUUCAUCAUAAAUUAUAUUAUGAACACAAGACAAACGAGACAUUUCAGUGUGUCCACUCUUGUUUUUGCUUUUGAAGAAGAUAUGACAGAAUCGAAGAACCAUUUAUAUAAAUUGAAAACCCAAAAUAAUCAUUCAUGGAAGAUUUAAGCAAAAAAUUUAAGGUGAGCG
Molecule: long non-coding RNA, 1303 nt
Filed under: Mytilus galloprovincialis (Mediterranean mussel)
Lineage: Eukaryota; Metazoa; Mollusca; Bivalvia; Mytilida; Mytilidae
Source: RNAcentral